GUUUUUGGCUUCUUGUUCCUUUGCUCCACCCGUCCCUGUGUGCUGAGGCACAACAGUCCACUGGAGUGGGAGUUUCCAAAUCAGAUGUGUCAGCUUUUCCUAACAACUCGCAGAGUGAUUAAAGAAUUUUAAAGCAAGUAAUUUCACUGUGACUCCCCUAGGUUAUGAGCAGCCCAAGAGGAGGAACAAUGGUAGCUCCAGAAGUUCUAACAGGAAGAGGAAAGGGUCAGAGAUUUUAUUAAGAAAAGAAUUUUGGAGGAGUAAUCAGCGGAUUUGACUUGAAACAAUAGCUGCAGAAUAUGUUUAAUUUUGAAGAUCUACACUUUUAUUUCAGAGAAGUAUGGAGGGGCACAAUGAGUAAAUACAAAUGUUUGGUCCACUAUCUUGGAUCAGAAGGCUAGCCGAACAUCUUGGAUUCCACUGAGCUAAUUGACAUUGUAUAAUAAUGAAAAAAAUAAACAAAUUUCUCAAGACUCAAAAUAUCUAAGAAUGUAGGUCAAGAACAUUUAAGAGGGGGAAGAUGGGUGUAAAUAUCUGAGAACAUUCUGGGGAAAGGAGUUACAGUGAUGAACAAAGAAGACAUAUUUGAGAAGUGAAGAAUACAGACAAGUAAGCAGACAAAUACGAGACCGUGAUAAACCCUACCAUGAUCCAAUGAUCAGGUGCUAUGGGAACAUAAAGACAGACAUAUGCUUGGAACGAGGAGUCAGGAAAAUGUUCCCAGGGGAAAUGACAUCUCUGAAACCUAAAGGAUUUGAGAGGAACUCAUCAUGGCUGAGACAUCAUCUGUGAGGUGGAGAAUUGUGAGGCCUGAGGCAGGAGACAUAAGCAGAAAAAUUAUAAAGGAACAUCUGCCCCCACACUAGAGAGCUUGAACUUGACCAUGAGGGCAAAGAGAAGAGCAACUAAAGGGGUUGAGAUUGGGAUGCAACAAGGUCUGAUUUGCAUUUGAGAAAGAUCUCUCUUGCUAUAAUAUGUGGAAUGUGUUAAGAGAUGAAAACAACUGGGCACCUGGUGCUGGGAACUCAGAUAGGAGUCUGUGACCAUAACCCAGGAAAGCGGGGAGAAGGCCUUAGACUAAAAUAGUAGCAGUAGACUAGAGACAAGUGGAUAGAAUCAAUCUGGAGGGCAUGUCUGUGGCAGAGUCCACAAGGGUAGGAGGAAGGGCAUAAAGCUGUAGGCUAAAUGUGCUUUUUUAUCGGAGUCUGAGGACCCCAGAAUGUUCAGCUGCUCAGAGCAGGGCUUCCUGUGGGCUCCUUCUGUUUGCAGCCUGUUUCACCUUUCACAACGCAGCAUUAUUUGGUCUCCCCCUUUCCACAAAGGGCCUGUUCUCUGAACCUCUGUGGUCCAUUUUCCAUCUCCCUCCAACCCCACCUGAAACAGUGGCCUUUCCUCCUCACCUUCCCACCCACCCCAACCCUGUACACUUCCCAAAGCCCAAGAUAGUCCCUAUGGAGUGACUUCUUGAGGGCUUCUAUUGAAAAGGCAGGGAUAGCCCUUGACUCUAUAGAGUUGACGGCAGAUAGUGGAUGAUGGAGGGAGAGAGGUAAUCCAGGAAACUGGUCCUUUUUAAGAUUGUAGUGGUUUAGGAUGCUAAAGCCAGAGGAUCACUUAAGGCCAGGAGUGAGUUCAAGACCAGCCUGAGUAACAUAGCAGUACUCCCAUCUCCCAUCUCCACAACAAACAAACAAAACAUUAGUUGGGCAUAAUGGCACGUGCCUGUAAUCCCAGCUACUCAGAAGGGAGGAUCACUUGAGCCCAGGAAUUAGAGGCUGCAAUGAGCUAUGGUCAUGCCAUUGUAUUCCAGCCUAGGAGGCAAAGUGAGACCCUGUCUCUUCUCUUUUGUUUAUUUUAUAGAUGGUCCAUCAGUCACUAGUGAAAAAAUUUAUAUACGUGCACAUGCAUACACACAGGCAUACUGAUACAGUUUGGCUGUGUCCCCACCCAAAUCUCAUCUUGAAUUGUAGCUCCCAUAAUCCCCAUGUGUCUUGAGGGGAGCUGGUGGGAGGUAAUUGAAUCAUGGGGAUAAGUUUUUCCCAUGCUGUCCUUGUGAUAGUGAAUAAGUCUCGUGAGAUCCGAUGGUUUUAUAAAGGGCAAUUCCCCUGCACACACGCUCUUGCCUGCCACCAUGUAAGAUGUGCCUUUGCUCCUCCUUCACCUUCCACCAUGAUUGUGAGGCCUCCACAGCCAUGUGGAACGGUGAGUCCGUUAAACCUCUUUUUCUUUAUAAAUUACCGUCUCGGGCAUUUCUUCACAUAGCAGUAGGAAAAUGGACUAAAACACACACAAAGCUCCAACAUACACAUACACACACACCCUCCAAAGGACAAUUAUUAAUUCUCAAAUAUAUACAGCCUAUAAAAUAAGAAAAAAUAAACAUUUUCCUAACUGCCUCAUAAUUUGCAAGUCACCUUUCUUACACAUAGAGUCAGUGUUUUAUUUCCUCCUUCUUCACUUUCAAUUUGUGCUUCUUCAUUCCUAGCAGGAAUAAGAAAGAGCCUACUGCUGAGUUAAAACACCUCUUCAUAAUUACUUCCAAGAGAUAGGAUCUUGUUCUGUUGCCCAGGCUAGAGUGCAGUGGCAGGAUCAUAGCUGACUGUAUCUUCAAACUCCUGAGCUCAAGCGAUCCUCCCGCCUCAGCUUCCCAAGUAGUGCGGAUUACAGGCUUGAGCCACUGCACCCCGCUCCGGUUUGGGGCCUAGAAGAAGAAACAUCUCCAACUCUGUGACCCAAAUUUUCAGUAUUCAAACGUGUGCCUAAAAUGUAGAGAAGCAGUUGAGGCAGAAUUGUGGAAUAGAAAUAGAACAGCCUGGAUUUAAAUCCCAGUUCUGAACUCACUACCUCUGCUGACCUUUGGCAAGAGACCUUACCCUUGAGGAUCCUCAGACCAACUUGCUCUAAGAUGGGACAGAAUCUACUUCACAAGGCUGUGAGACUUAAGCUGAAAACAGUGCCUGGCUUGGAGCAAGCCCUUACUAAAUGGUGUCUACUGUUGUUUGUGGACAUUGUUAAUGUAUUUAUUACUAUGGCUUAUAGUGAGACCAAAGCGCCAACUUUGGUCAGCCUUCCACAUCACUGCUAUAAACUUCUAAAAUUAACAGUUUAACUUGCAUAGUUUUGGUUCCUACACUUCUGUGAACAUCCACUAUAUGGAUCAGAGAAGAAUAAUAGAAAUCUAAAUGAAG
RNAcentral lists this long non-coding RNA (3185 nucleotides) under Homo sapiens (human). RNAcentral describes it as "HSALNT0150199". The record is from RNAcentral. Lineage: Eukaryota; Metazoa; Chordata; Mammalia; Primates; Hominidae.